GAAGGUGUAUGUAGAGGAGGGGAGGAAUACGCUUCUUGAGGUGAUCAAAGAAUCAGGAAUGAAGAGAGUCAGAAAACUUCUGUCUCAAUGCUAAGGUUCAUUGCACGGUCUUGAAAGAGGAAUAUUGAAGAGAAGUGAAGGUGAAGGUGAGCUAUCAGAGGAUUGGAGAAACAAGAGCCCUGCCCUUGGAUAAGGUCCUGACCAGGCAGUGGCAGUGAGCCUAGGAGGAAAAAUCUCACCUUGCUUUUCAAGCAUAAAGCUGACAGUUCUACUAGAGGCACACAGGAAGUCACUCUGGCUUCACUGCCGAGAUCCUCUGUACCCAGAAGCAUCUGUUCCCUUUGUGGUUGGGAGGGGACACCAGCCAAGAGAAGAUACUGGGUCAGUCUAGGACUAUAUACUCUGGGGCUAGUCACCAAAUAUUGCAAGAGACAUAUUAAAAACUAUUAGUUAUUCAAAAUACAAAUUUAACUGGGUGCUUUGUAUUUUUUUUGCUCAAUCUCACAACUCUACUUGGUGGCCC
RNAcentral lists this long non-coding RNA (523 nucleotides) under Equus caballus (horse). RNAcentral describes it as "lncRNA (ENSECAG00000046601.1)". The record is from RNAcentral. Lineage: Eukaryota; Metazoa; Chordata; Mammalia; Perissodactyla; Equidae.